UAACGAAUAGUUUAAAGAAAACGAUAGGUUGUGGUUCUGUAGAUAGGAAAUUCUUUUCGUUAG
This 63-nucleotide transfer RNA is filed under the name Hyriopsis bialata. RNAcentral describes it as "tRNA-His". The record is from RNAcentral. Lineage: Eukaryota; Metazoa; Mollusca; Bivalvia; Unionida; Unionidae.